UCCCACACAUCCCCCCAUCUCCCCCGCAGCCCUCGGCCCCGAUCCCAUCUCUCCCCUCUCUCCUUUCUCAGAAAAAUCGCCGGCCCAUAUCUUGAUUCGCCGCUGCCGCUCCCCUCCUCGUCAGCCUCGUGGUUGCGGUGGCCGAAGUCCUGGCUGUGGACGCCGCCGCUCCCCUCCUUGUCAGCCUUGUGGUCGCGGUUGCCGUAGCCGCCGGCCCUGCACUCUCCUCUUCAGGAUGUCCCUCGUGCCACCCUCGUGUUGUUGUCGUCGCGCUGCCUCUGUACACCGGCAACCAACUGUUCAGUUCCAUGGGCCCUGAUUGUUUCUUGAAUUUCAGAUUGUUGGGCAUGAGAGCCAUCAUCGGCUGGUUGAUCCACCUCGCUAGCUCGUGUCCGUCGAGGUCGUUGACUCGUCCAUUCCUGAAUUGUUAAGCUUCGCUGCAGCAGACUCGCCUUGGAGUUUCAGUUUCGAUCACAUGCAUGACCCUAUAGGCACAUGUUCGGACCAAGAAGACUACUUCUGUGCUUGAACUAUUCCAAAUUGCAGCUAUUUUUCAGGAGAAGAACAGGUAUGUGUGCCCUGAUUAGAAAAGUGUAGACCUCAACAGUGUAGAAUUUAUCUGUCGCAUCAGGAAGGCGCCAAAAAACAUGUUUCCUGAACUUCUGGUUUCUGACUUGUAGCAGCUCAGGAGCAUCCAAAGAUGAUUGAUUCAUCGAUCAAUGGUUGAUGGCAAUUAGCUCAGAGAACAGAACAACUUUGCAACUGGCAAUCUUGUCCAUUACAUCUACUUUGUUUGACAAAAUAUUCCUAAGGGUAGUUUCAGUUUGAUUUAGGCAUCUACAUUAUCUUACAAUCUUGUUUGUAAAUAAAUUUUCAGGUUUGUCUGUUAGUGUCGCCCUGCCAUGGCACGGGUGAACUAGAAUGUAUCAUCAGUUCGUCACCCAUAAGCAAUGAAAUCUGAUGUGUUUUUUGUUC
This is a long non-coding RNA of Triticum aestivum (bread wheat), 975 nucleotides long. RefSeq lists it as uncharacterized. NCBI's taxonomy places the organism in Eukaryota, Viridiplantae, Streptophyta, Magnoliopsida, Poales, Poaceae. The record is from RefSeq and is a predicted model, not a curated record. The transcript has 2 exons.